Molecule: ribosomal RNA, 500 nt
Filed under: uncultured Glomeromycotina
Lineage: Eukaryota; Fungi; Glomeromycota
Description: partial small subunit ribosomal RNA
Rfam family: Eukaryotic small subunit ribosomal RNA
Source: RNAcentral
CCAAUAGCGUAUAUUAAAGUUGUUGCAGUUAAAAAGCUCGUAGUUGAAUUUCGGGAUCAGUACGCUGGUCGUGCCUUCGGUAUGUACUGGUGUUACUGGUUCCUACCUUCUGACGAACCGUCAUGUCAUUAAUUUGGUGUGGCGGGGAAUCAGGACUGUUACUUUGAAAAAAUUAGAGUGUUUAAAGCAGGCUCGCGCUUGAAUACAUUAGCAUGGAAUAAUGAAAUAGGACGUUCAAUCCUAUUUUGUUGGUUUCUAGGACUGACGUAAUGAUUAAUAGGGAUAGUUGGGGGCAUUAGUAUUCAAUUGUCAGAGGUGAAAUUCUUGGAUUUAUUGAAGACUAACUACUGCGAAAGCAUUUGCCAAGGAUGUUUUCAUUAAUCAAGAACGAAAGUUAGGGGAUCGAAGACGAUCAGAUACCGUCGUAGUCUUAACCAUAAACUAUGCCGACUAGGGAUCGGAUGAUGUUAAUUUUUUAAUGACUCAUUCGGCGCCUUACG